RNAcentral lists this long non-coding RNA (240 nucleotides) under Gopherus agassizii (Agassiz's desert tortoise). Its description in RNAcentral is "lncRNA (ENSGAGG00000009021.1)". The record is from RNAcentral. Lineage: Eukaryota; Metazoa; Chordata; Testudines; Testudinidae.
UUCCUGACACACACAUAUCCUAACCUCCAGCAACCCGAGAAAGGGAAGAUCUCUUCCAAACUAGAAAGAAUUGAAGUGUAAAGGAGCAGAUGUUUUGCCAAACAUCCUGAUGUGUUGCUUUUUCUUAUGGGAGUGCGGAACUGUUCCUUCUGAUGCAUCGACUUGACAGCUGGUUGAUUUCAUGGAGCUGCUAAGAAGCCAUUAGUGGUGUCAUUGAAUUGAAACAGAACAGUCACUCCC